RNAcentral lists this long non-coding RNA (3504 nucleotides) under Taeniopygia guttata (zebra finch). RNAcentral describes it as "lncRNA (ENSTGUG00000025166.1)". The record is from RNAcentral. Lineage: Eukaryota; Metazoa; Chordata; Aves; Passeriformes; Estrildidae.
UUUUUGGUUUUUUUUUUUUGGUUUUUUUUUUUUUUCACAAGCCAUUUAUGGAAUUACAUUACAACUUCAAAAACAAUAUCUUUGAGCCAAAAUGUACAUUUCAAAGAAUUGAGAUUAAUUGAUUGAAAUAAUGAACUUUAAUAUGGGCUCAAUAUAGUCUUAAUAUAGUUAUAUAAGGAACAUUUCAAUGUAUUGAUUGCAUAAAAAAUGUUAAAAAUAUUGUAGAUUAUUUAAAGAGAUUUUAUAUGAGAAAUGAAGUUUUAGUGGAAAUGAGGAUGGAGCAGGUUUGUGUCAUCAGAAGAAAAGGGUCAUGGUUAUGAUUUUCCCCACAAUAUGAAAAAGGGAUGGAAAUAGAGAGCAAGGUAGUAUUUAUUGCCUGGAUAAAUGUACUUUCUAGAUGGCAUCCUACCCUGGGUUGCAAUUCUAAUACAGGUCAAGGAGGAAAAAUUAAGUUAAAACUGGCCUCCUCAAUGCUCUUAAUCAUGGCAACAUCUGCAGCUUUGAUUUUGUGUAGCCUGAGUGCUCUUCAGACUCUCCAGUUGUAGCUAUUUUAGGACUCGUUCUGGACAUCAUAAUAUUCACUGGUGUUGUGGGGGUUUCUAUUUGACUGUUGCUCAGGACAGCUUCAUGGAAACUAAAGGAAAUGUAAUUCAGUCUUUAGUGGUUCUGAGGCAAUUAUUUUUCUCUCUCAUUCUAAGAUCUCUCAGCUCUCAGAAGAUCAGGGAACAGAAUGAUCCUAGCAACACUCAAGCAAUCGUUUUGGCAAAGUCUAAAAUAAUCCAUUUAUUUAGCGUUAUUUCACUUUUUUCCCCCUAAACUGCAAACAUUAGGGAAGGCCUGUAGAGCUUCUUCAUAUCCUUCCAGAAGCAUAUGAAAUAAAAUCCUUUUCCAUGAGAAAAUUUAUUAAAAUUAAUAACAUAGCAUUUGACAUCAAGCAUUUCUGGGAAGUCUGACAUGAUAUGAGAUUCCAGGUGAUUCAUGUCCUGAUAUUUGAAUGGAAUGAACUGAAAACUUUUAUUGCACAAGCCAUAAACUGCAGGAAAUUUCAGAUCUAGGUCUUUCUUGUUUCCUAAAAGUUACAAUUUCUUGAUCUCCAUGUCUUAUUCUUUACUUUUUUUUUUACUUUCAAGUGGCUAGUAUGACACAUGGAAGGAUAUAGACAGCUGUAAACUGAUCAGACAUUUGCCAUGUCAUUUGUCAUUAUUUUUAUGUUUAACCAAUUUUGCAUGUAUAUGAGACUGUACAGCAUAUUUUUAUUCAGGGAAGUUUUGCUGGUAAUAUAGUACUUUUCUACCAUGCAUGGAAUUGAGAUUUGAUUUAGUUUGAAAUUUUACCAUCUUUAUUUGCUCUGAUGCUUUAAACAAAUGGCUUUUAUUUUUUUUUUUUUUUAAUGAAAACUGGCAAAGUUAUGUAUAAGUUGCUCAUAAAACCAUACAAAUGUGUUUUUUGCUUCAUUACAAGUGACAUAUUCCUAGGCAAUUCAGAAUAGGUGGCAGAGAGAAGAAAACCUGAACCUUACUCUGUAGCUCUUCCCUAAGCCACAUUGUUCCCUAAAGCAAAAACAGCGCUGAAAAUCAUCUAGGCUAGCAAAUUUGCUGAGGUGUAUUUUAAUCUUUAGUACCAGAAUAGACAGUCACAAAGUGUGACUCUCUGCUACCUGACAGGAAGGAAUAGUUGAUUUCUUGUCAUAAUUUAUAUAGGUAUGUGCACACAUGUAUGAGUGUUUGUGUGCACCUGUUAUUGCCUAAUUCAGAUAAAUCAUUCAUGUCCAAAAAUGGUUCAGGAAAAGAAAAAUUCUACUGGGAAUGACACAGAUUGGAAAAGUUUAAAUAAAUGGCAUUUCAAGUGGAUAUGUUGUUGCGUGGGAUGCACCACAUGUUAAUUAACCAACACCAUUUUGUUUACACUCAGUAGCUGAAUAAAAAUGGUGCUUUCUGUAGUGUUGUUUAUCUUUCACCACAAAUAUUUCAGUGAAGCCUACUGUUGUCAUAUUCUAUGCAGUGUCUUAGAUACUUACAUCCUUAGCAGAAAGUUAGCUUGGUCUUAUAGUUUUGUAAUCUUGGUUUUAUAGUCUAUACAUAAACCUUCUUGGAACUUCAUAUCAUGUUGGUUAAAUAAAACCAAAUGAGACAGAGUGGUAAAGCUUUCCAAGUUAUCCUGUCAUUCAGAAUAUUGCAAACAUAAGCAUUUAGAUUAAGACGAGAUCCCUUUAGUCCCUUCUGCUGAAGGGAAAUGUUGCAAUAUAUGUUCAAUCACAUAGUUGACCUGAGAUAAUCUACAUGAGAAAGUCUUGCAUCAACUAGAUUUUUUCCUGUUCUCCUGAUCCCAAGGAGUAUAUGUUUUUCUAUAUUUCACUGCUAUUCUUAUUUUCUUGCUCAUUGUAGAAAACCUCACCACUAUUUUAUGCUUUGAUUUAUAAAGAUAAUGAAUUAUACAAAUACAUUUCUUUCUGGAAUAAGAACACACCAAGGAAACCUCUUACAUCAUGAAAUCAUGCCACACAUAUACUCACUCCUCUAUAUAUGAUCAUCUAUUGAGGAGGGUAACAGUUUUCCUGAUGGAUUUUUGUGAAGAAAAAGAAAGCAGGUUACUGUUCUUUGUAUCUUUGUCAGAAAUCUGAUAGCUUGUUGGGAAAUACCUGAUUAAAAUUUUGUGCAAGAAAAAAAGAAAGAAAAGCCUGGAUGAAAUGCAACUGCAUUAGGUUCCAUCUCUUUGGUCUGAGGCUUUUCAUCACAGGCAGAAAGCAAUGGCAUCAAAACUGUCCAUCAUAAAUUGUAGAUGUAAUAUAAGCAUAUAUGUUAUAGAAAAGUCUAAUCCACACCACUGGUCCCCUGAAAAUGAAAUGGCAUUUUCAUAAUGAUUGCAAUGAACUGGAUGAGGCCCAUUUAUUUCCAUUAUCGCAAAAUGAAGUUGGUAGCACUUCCAGAACAUUAAUGCCUGGAAAGAAAAUUAUAUCCAUAGUGUAUGUGAUAGUCUGGAUUCAACAAAGCUUAAGCACGCUCUUGAAUGCUUUGCUAGGUGACUCGCCUGGUGGAUGUGGGAAAGGCUGUGGAUGUUGUCUAUUUAGACUUCAGCAAAGCCUUUGUCACUGUCUCCCACAGCACACUCCUGGAGAAGCUGCAGCCCAUGGCUGGGACAGGAGCACUCUGUGCUGGGUUAGGAACUGGCUGGAUGGCCGGGCCCAGGGAGUGGUGGCGAACAGUGCUGCAUCCAGUUGGGGACAGGCACCAGUGGUGUCCCUCAGGGUUUGUGCUGGGGCCUGUUCUGUUCAAUGUUUUUAUUGAUCACAUGGAUGAGGGGAUUGAGUCUUUCAUUAGUAAAUUUGCAGACGACACUAAGCUGGGAGUGUGUGUCAAUCUGUUGGAAGGUAGGAGGGCUCUGCAGAGAGACUUGGAACAGUUGGACGAAUGGGCAGAGUCCCAUAAGAUGAAGUUCAAUAAAUCCAAGUGCCGAGUUCUGCAUUUUGGCCACAAUAACCCCCUGCAAUGUUACAGGCUGGGGAUG